ACUGACAGCCAUGGUUACCGCGGCUGCUGGCACGGAGUUAGCCGGUGCUUCUUCUGUGAGUGAUGUCCUUCCUGCCGGCUAUUAACCCGCAGGCCUUCUUCCUCACUGAAAGUGCUUUACAACCCGAAGGCCUUCUUCACACACGCGGCAUGGCUGGAUCAGGGUUGCCCCCAUUGUCCAAUAUUCCCCACUGCUGCCUCCCGUAGGAGUCUGGGCCGUGUCUCAGUCCCAGUGUGGCUGAUCAUCCUCUCAGACCAGCUACGGAUCGUCGCCUUGGUGAGCCGUUACCUCACCAACCAGCUAAUCCGACAUAGGCUCAUCCGAUAGCGCGAGGCCCGAAGGUCCCCCGCUUUCCCCCGUAGGGCGUAUGCGGUAUUAGCCUGGGUUUCCCCAGGUUAUCCCCAACUACCGGGCAGAUUCCUAUGCAUUACUCACCCGUCCGCCGCUCGCCACCAGGGAGCAAGCUCCCCGUGCUGCCGCUCGACUUGCAUGUGUUAGGCCUGCCGCCAGCGUUCAAU
Molecule: ribosomal RNA, 518 nt
Filed under: uncultured bacterium
Lineage: Bacteria
Description: partial 16S ribosomal RNA
Source: RNAcentral